Homo sapiens (human) is the source of this 2125-nucleotide long non-coding RNA. Ensembl annotates it as adipocyte associated metabolic related lncRNA 1. Its record names the gene ASMER1. NCBI's taxonomy places the organism in Eukaryota, Metazoa, Chordata, Mammalia, Primates, Hominidae. The record is from Ensembl.
AGAUCCCUUGGCCCUUCCACCAUGUGAGUAUACAGAGAGAAGGUAUGAUCCAUGGAUCAGGAAACCAGCCUUCCCUAGACAUGGAAUCUGCUGGCACCUUGAUUUUGAACUUCCCAGACUCCAGAACUACUCCUGCCCCUGCCACGAGAACACACCCUUUCCAGUUUGCUGGAGAAAUAUAAGAGAAGUCCAGUGAAAGAGAGCUGAGUUUCCCCAAUGAUGCCAUCAAGAUGAACUAACUACAGUUAACCAGCCAGCUGAUAGCAGAUGCAUGAGUGAGCCCAGCUGAGAGCAGGUGAAACUGAAAUUGGCUGUAUCAUCUGAAACUUCAUCUGUGAAGUCCCUGGUGGUUUCCUAGAUGACUACACAGUUGAGUUGCCUCUGAUUGGAAAAGCAGUGUUUUGGUUUUUCAGUUUGUACAAGAGGAAGAAGACGCAUGAUAUGUGUUUGGCUCAUGUGCCUGAAUAUGGCUCCACAGGGAAGACUUGAUACAGCUGAAGCUAUUGCUUUUUAGAGACUUUUUAUUUUGAGCAGCUGCCUUAACAGCCUUCGUCUUGUUACAUCACAUGAGAUAUAUCUCUGGAAUAGGAAGAGAAAAAAGACAUGACUGAGCAAUAAUUUUUGACUAAAACUUAAAAUUACAAAACCAAAACCAGAGAUAGAUGUCCCUGAAGUUGUAUUUUUAUAGUAUGUGAGAACACAAUUUUCUUAUCCUAGUUUUAAGGCAUUCCUCUGGACCCAGGAUUUUUGUUUAGUUUCAUUCACAUAAUCAAACUCUUUUUUUUUUUUUUGCCAUAGACUAAUGCAUUUUGGUGUAAUGAUCUGAGCCCUUAUCCAGAAGGCAUCUAAGACUCAUGUACAAAAAUAGAUUUCAGGGCUAAACAUUCUAAAAGACAAUUGAGUGCUUCUUUUUUCUCCGGCCCCUAGAUGUAAAUGAAUAACCUCUGUUCACUAACUCUUAAUGUAAUAUAAGGGAUAAAUUAUGCUUGUUUAUUUAAUUGUGCUUAACCAGAGUACUAGGUUGGAGUCAAACCACAGAUAUAUUUGUGAGAUGUGACAAAAUGUAGCUUUUAGCCCGUAAUACCCAAGUCAUCUGGGAACAUAACUGAUGACAGUGUCAACACCUUUCAGGAAUUCUGGAGGUGCCUUUGAGUUUAGAAAUUCGUAGGUUCUCUAGAAGCAACAGUAGCAUACUAAAUUAACACAUAACAUUUCAAGCUACAUUUACAUAAUUGCAGUGGUUAUGAUUAAUACAAAUUAUAUUAACUGCCUGUUUUACUCCUUAUAGCUGAUUGGCUGAAUUUACCAGUGGGUUUGGUAUGUUCAACAAAUGAUCCAAAUUACCUUUUCAUUUCAGUUAAGAAACUAAUCAAAGCAAAUACACUUUGAUUUGUUGAGAGGCAGAGAUUCUCCCUAAGUGGCAAUGUCCUUGGCCUUCUAAGCUAAAACCUAAAUGGAACUAUAAUAUAUAUUUUGAUGCUUUAUCUCACUUGAGUUUUUUAUUCUUUAACUGAAGGGCAGCCAUGGACCAUAAAUACAUAGAAGAUAAAAAUAUAUUGAGCUUAGGAGUUUGGUCUGUUCAAUGGAUGAGAACUUUAUAUUUUCCCUUAUAAACACAAUUUUCAAAGAAUAGCCUGUAAUAGUCGUGAAAAUGGAAACCAAUACUGGGGAAAUGUGGACUGCAACUCUGAAAAGGUAUCAAAAUGCCCGAUAGUUCAACACAAGGGCUAAGCAAUAUUUCAGGGAUGUGGCCUGUCUUUGGUGGCUCGGUCACUCUAGUGAGAUGAAUUUGGAAAAGGAUAGGCAUACAGAAUCCCCCCUCUGGCAGGGUUUGCCUUUGGGGUCUGCUUAAAGCCAUGUUUGCUAGUAGAAAUCUUGAGUAACCAGAUAUGUUUUAUAAUGCUGUGUCAUAUUUAAAUUCUGAUGAGAUUGACAUCUUUAAAUAAGCUUGGACACAGAUUGGAUUUGUACAGGGAACUGGACUGAAGAAUAAUCGUAGGUCAGUAAUAGAUUUAGAUAUACUAUUUUUAUAUUGUAAGCAGUUACUUCUCAGGAUUAGUAUUCUAAUUCAUUUGAUUUAAUAUGUAAUAGGUAAUAUUAAAAAUAAAGAUUUUAUGCUUUGAAA